AAACUAUGAUGUGGAAAACUCCUCAGUAAAUCCUUGAACCAUUCCCAAUAAUCAUAUAAAGUUUCAUUCUCUUACUGAAGUAACCAUGUUAUGUCAUUCCUCAACUU
Ricinus communis (castor bean) is the source of this 107-nucleotide non-coding RNA. The record is from Rfam. NCBI's taxonomy places the organism in Eukaryota, Viridiplantae, Streptophyta, Magnoliopsida, Malpighiales, Euphorbiaceae.